Molecule: ribosomal RNA, 253 nt
Filed under: uncultured bacterium
Lineage: Bacteria
Description: partial 16S ribosomal RNA
Rfam family: Bacterial small subunit ribosomal RNA
Source: RNAcentral
UACGUAGGGCGCGAGCGUUAUCCGGAAUUAUUGGGCGUAAAGAGCUCGUAGGCGGUUUGUCGCGUCUGCCGUGAAAGCCCGGGGCUCAACUCCGGAUCUGCGGUGGGUACGGGCAGACUAGAGUGAUGUAGGGGAGACUGGAAUUCCUGGUGUAGCGGUGAAAUGCGCAGAUAUCAGGAGGAACACCGAUGGCGAAGGCAGGUCUCUGGGCAUUAACUGACGCUGAGGAGCGAAAGCGUGGGGAGCGAACAGG